This is a long non-coding RNA of Larimichthys crocea (large yellow croaker), 1006 nucleotides long. RefSeq lists it as uncharacterized. The record is from RefSeq and is a predicted model, not a curated record. The transcript is spliced from 5 exons. NCBI's taxonomy places the organism in Eukaryota, Metazoa, Chordata, Actinopteri, Sciaenidae.
CUUGGAUUAAAAUCUUCAAGAAAGUCUGCACUAUGUGUUUGCGUUGAUCCUCACUAAACUAGACCACCUCAUGACACGGCUGAGCACUGAGCCCCAGGCCAUGUGACGGAGUGAAGGUAGGUGCCAUUACAGAUGGCUUGUUUGAGCACCCAGGCGUCAUUCAGCCUGCCUCAGGUUCACCGAUUGUCCAAGUCUUUGCUGAUCUUUAGAUUAGUCUUGAGGCAGCAGAGGCAAGACAGCCAACAUGGCGGCGACCAGAGCCACCAAACAUGAUUGGCUAUAAUACUGGAGCACGAGAAUGAUAAUUGCUACGUCAACACCACCACCAGCAGCACCCCCCUCUUACAGUAGAGGAGGAAAGACUGUAGCUCAUCCUCCAACUAGCCGUGCCUCCUUCAACAAUAACAACAACAACAACAACAACAUGAGUAAAGCCACCAGUCCAAUUAGACGUGAGACUGUGACAGCAAGAUCGGGUACGCCUGACACCCUCCGUCAUUCACACCUUUAUUAUAUCACACACCGCCAGUAAUGAGAACUCCACCAGGGUGACGGUGUUAAUGAUGAUGAAGGCGUCACGUUUUCAUCCUCUCUAUCUGCCUUCGGAUCUGCAGUGGUCAUGGCUCUCAGUACGCCUUGAUCCAUGUGGUGCUUUGUGGCUCCCUGACUGUGGUCAACAGGAAAUGAGGAAGGGGUGAAUCACACUGGGAACACUGCAGUGUCCUCACCACACAUGUUAAUAAAGCCUUUGUGUGAAGACUUAAUGUGAUUUCGAAGAAGUCUCCACUACUUCAUCGUAAACACGAUGAGUGGUGGAGUGACCGCACAUUAUCAGUCUUAUUUUUAUCCUGUCUUUUUAUAUUUAGUAUGAGUAUGAAAAUCUUUCACGAUCACUCACACAUUAAGGAAAGAUAUAUUGAGUUCUUUGGCUGAACUGAAACUAAGCAGCUUGUAUGCUGCACACGCAGCGUUCCCUCUGCACUGCUCUGUAUGAACAAAUAUUUCA